Molecule: long non-coding RNA, 1376 nt
Organism: Nomascus leucogenys (northern white-cheeked gibbon)
Lineage: Eukaryota; Metazoa; Chordata; Mammalia; Primates; Hylobatidae
Exons: 3
Source: RefSeq, a predicted model, not a curated record
AUUAAGUUCCCUCUGUAUGCAGAAUAUUGUGCAACAUGGUUAUGGGUACUACAGUGGAUGUGAGUGUGUAGACCUUGUACAAUAGAGCUUAUAGGCUAAAGAGAAGACAGGAAGAAACAACAGGAACACAUAUAGCUGGAAUGCAGAUGGGAUCUGUGCUACUUACGCUAGCCAUGGGAUGAUUAGAACAAGAUAAGAGACAUGAGGAAGACUUCUUCAAGGAGGUGCUCAAGCCAUGUUUUCGAAAAGAGAACUCAAGGUCUGGCAGGGAGAAAGGAGCAAGGGCAAGUAGAGCUGCGGCUGUCUGGCGCCACUGUAAUGCUGUCUCCUCCUCUGAGUUCAUCCUGGAAACAUUUUCUCCCGUAAGAUAUGCACAGGUCUUACGUUUACAUGUUUCACUGAAAGAAAUUUGAUUCCACUGAUGGGAUGACAAAGAAGACUGGAGAAACCUAAUCCUAGGUGCUGCUGUUGCGACAAACAAGAAGCACGAGACACAGUGCUGUUUUAGGGUGGGGCAGAAUUAUGCUGAGGGAAAAGUUAUUAUCACUCUUUAAGGCCAAGGAAGCCACAAUUUUUAAAGAAGCUUCUAGAAAUUCUACCCAAUAGAAAAUAAAGAUAAACUUCUGUAAGGAACUUCAUUCUUUUCAGAAUUUGCCAUCUGAAAUGUAGAAGCCCAUUCCUUCAUGGUUCUCAUAGAUAUUUAGUGUGACUGAGGGGUCAGUGGACUCAUAGCACUCAGGCCAGGCUUCUCCUGAGUCCCUUUCUUCGGCACAGAGGGAGUGAUUCACAGAUCCUCUACCCCCAAAGGCAUUGUUUUCUCAUCUCAACAAGGAUCCAGCACCCGUCAUUUUAUCAGCACACGUCACUAGCUUCUCAAGUGAGACUACUCUUAAGUGAUCUGUGUUUGAAGAGUGCCUUUCCCUUUCCCUUCCAUAACUAAGAGAAUGAAAAAGGACACUCACUCCCUAUAUGAAAGCUGUGUAUUGUAAGCAGUCAUCUUGCCUGGCUGAGAACUCUAGGAAAUUUUUCUCUGCUCUCCUUUAGGCUGACACUCAUAGCCAGCCCUUCUGUUUAUUAGCCCACUGAAUCUAUUUGAAAAUAUUUUUGCUUUCAUUAUAAUAUAAGUCACAUUCUUCUUGCAUCUGCCACUGCAUUUUCCAAAAGGGUUAUGUCAAGGGAAAUUCAACACUCACUUUUCUCAUUAUUUGCUUACCAGCUUGCUCACUCAUCAAAAGACCAGAGUUAUUUGAUACUUCAGAAGAUUAUUUUCCCCCUUAGAUGAUGUGUCAAGGGAAGGGGAGCUGGCCCCAGUGUCAGGUGACGGAAUUUUCUUCGCAUUUCUACUGUUGACUCAAUAAAUGCCCUUGGGCAAGUCA